RNAcentral lists this transfer RNA (72 nucleotides) under Bos taurus (domestic cattle). It matches the Rfam family "tRNA". Rfam says of the family: Transfer RNA (tRNA) molecules are approximately 80 nucleotides in length. Their secondary structure includes four short double-helical elements and three loops (D, anti-codon, and T loops). Lineage: Eukaryota; Metazoa; Chordata; Mammalia; Artiodactyla; Bovidae. The record is from Rfam by way of RNAcentral. RNAcentral also lists the same sequence under 5 other names.
UCCCUGAUGGCUUAGAUGGUAAAGAUUCUGCCUUCAAUGCAGGAGACCUGGGUUUGAUCCCUAGAUUGAGAA